GGGGGUGCCCGGUUUUGACAGCAGGCAGAGUUUGAUUGUAAGCACGCCGAGCGCUGUGUGGCGGCUCGUAAAUCCCGACGCUCGAACUACAAAUGGCAAUAACAGCUACGCACUCGCUGCCUAAUUUUCAAGGAAAAUUAGCUUAAUCGCCGAGGCCAAGGCGUCUUGGCGACGAGUAUCCCGGAGAGGUGUUCCGCUCUUUAAUGCCUUUCCAUACGGGGUAUCAUUCAUUUAGAGAUAGUGCACCGGCGGUCCCGACCGGCGUGCGAAGAUCAAGGGACUGGGCCCUGUGCUGGGUUGUUGCCUGCCAGGUACGGGGAGAAGGAUCAAACGGCGACUAAGCGUGUAGAAAGCUUUCGGGUUCCCUGUUUGGACGCGGGUUCGACUCCCGCCACCUCCACAA
Molecule: non-coding RNA, 403 nt
Organism: Alistipes sp. An116
Lineage: Bacteria; Pseudomonadati; Bacteroidota; Bacteroidia; Bacteroidales; Rikenellaceae
Source: Rfam